Molecule: non-coding RNA, 70 nt
Organism: Dipodomys ordii (Ord's kangaroo rat)
Lineage: Eukaryota; Metazoa; Chordata; Mammalia; Rodentia; Heteromyidae
Source: Rfam
GGGAAUGUGGCUUAGUGGUAGAGUGCUUGCCUAGCAUGCAUGAAGUCCUGGGUUCGAUUCCUCAGUACCA